GGAUUCGGCAAUAGAGCAAUGAAAGUUUCGCAUCCCGUACGCACUGCGGUAAAGAAGCAUUGAAUCGCCUGGUUAGUAUAACUGUGGGUGACAGCGUGAGAAUCCCUGGUGCUGAAUUCC
This 120-nucleotide ribosomal RNA is filed under the name Tuber melanosporum Mel28. Lineage: Eukaryota; Fungi; Ascomycota; Pezizomycetes; Pezizales; Tuberaceae. The record is from RNAcentral.